CCUACGGGAGGCAGCAGUGAGGAAUAUUGGUCAAUGGGCGCGAGCCUGAACCAGCCACGCCGCGUGAAGGAUGAAUGUCCUACGGGUUGUAAACUUCUUUUAUAAAGGAAUAAAGUGUGGCACGUGUGCCUGUUUGAGUGUCCUUUAUGAAUAAGGCUCGGCUAACUCCGUGACAGCAGCCGCGGUAAUACGGAGGAUCCGAGCGUUAUCCGGAUUUAUUGGGUUUAAAGGGAGCGUAGGUGGGUUGUUAAGUCAGUUGUGAAAGUUUGCGGCUCAACCGUAGAAUUGCAAUUGAUACUGGCAGUCUUGAGUACAGGUGAGGUAGGCGGAAUUCGUGGUGUAGCGGUGAAAUGCUUAGAUAUCACGAAGAACUCCGAUUGCGAAGGCAGCUUGCUAGACUGUCACUGACACUGAGGCACGAAAGUGUGGGGAUCAAACAGGAUUAGAUACCCCUGUAGUC
RNAcentral lists this ribosomal RNA (460 nucleotides) under uncultured bacterium. Its description in RNAcentral is "partial 16S ribosomal RNA". It matches the Rfam family "Bacterial small subunit ribosomal RNA", at positions 338 to 795 of the family's 1533-position model. The record is from RNAcentral.